CAGCAGCCACGGUAAUACGUAGGUCCCGAGCGUUGUCCGGAUUUAUUGGGCGUAAAGCGAGCGCAGGCGGUUAGAUAAGUCUGAAGUUAAAGGCUGUGGCUUAACCAUAGUACGCUUUGGAAACUGUUUAACUUGAGUACAAGAGGGGAGAGUGGAAUUCCAUGUGUAGCGGUGAAAUGCGUAGAUAUAUGGAGGAACACCGGUGGCGAAAGCGGCUCACUGGACCAUUACUGACGCUGAGGCGCGAAAGCUAGGGGAGCAAACAGGAUUAGAUACCACCGUAGUCCCUGUCUCUUAUACA
Molecule: ribosomal RNA, 301 nt
Filed under: uncultured bacterium
Lineage: Bacteria
Description: partial 16S ribosomal RNA
Rfam family: Bacterial small subunit ribosomal RNA
Source: RNAcentral